CACACUAUCAUUAACUGAAUCCAUAGGUUAAUGAGGCGAACCGGGGGAACUGAAACAUCUAAGUACCCCGAGGAAAAGAAAUCAACCGAGAUUCCCCCAGUAGCGGCGAGCGAACGGGGAGGAGCCCAGAGCCUGAAUCAGCAUGUGUGUUAGUGGAAGCGUCUGGAAAGGCGCGCGAUACAGGGUGACAGCCCCGUACACAAAAGCGCAUGUGCUGUGAGCUCGAUGAGUAGGGCGGGACACGUGGUAUCCUGUCUGAAUAUGGGGGGACCAUCCUCCAAGGCUAAAUACUCCUGACUGACCGAUAGUGAACCAGUACCGUGAGGGAAAGGCGAAAAGAACCCCGGCGAGGGGAGUGAAAAAGAACCUGAAACCGUGUACGUACAAGCAGUGGGAGCCCCACCACUAAGCCAGUGGUGAACUCCACAUACGCAUCCUUUGCUGAGGAUACGGUUAACGGAGCGAAAGCGACGUUCAACCUCAAAAGAAGCAGAGGGGGCUUAGUGGUGGGGUGACUGCGUACCUUUUGUAUAAUGGGUCAGCGACUUAUAUUCUGUAGCAAGGUUAACCGAAUAGGGGAGCCGGAGGGAAACCGAGUCUUAACCGGGCGUUAAGUUGCAGGGUAUAGACCCGAAACCCGGUGAUCUAGCCAUGGGCAGGUUGAAGGUUGGGUAACACUAACUGGAGGACCGAACCGACUAAUGUUGAAAAAUUAGCGGAUGACCUGUGGCUGGGGGUGAAAGGCCAAUCAAACCGGGAGAUAGCUGGUUCUCCCCGAAAGCUAUUUAGGUAGCGCCUCGUGAAUUCAUCUCCGGGGGUAGAGCACUGUUUCGGCUAGGGGGCCAUCCCGGCUUACCAACCCGAUGCAAACUGCGAAUACCGGAGAAUGUUAUCACGGGAGACA
RNAcentral lists this ribosomal RNA (904 nucleotides) under Salmonella enterica subsp. enterica serovar Schwarzengrund. Its description in RNAcentral is "bacterial LSU rRNA". It matches the Rfam family "Bacterial large subunit ribosomal RNA", at positions 144 to 986 of the family's 2925-position model. Lineage: Bacteria; Pseudomonadati; Pseudomonadota; Gammaproteobacteria; Enterobacterales; Enterobacteriaceae. The record is from RNAcentral.